RNAcentral lists this ribosomal RNA (253 nucleotides) under uncultured bacterium. Its description in RNAcentral is "partial 16S ribosomal RNA". It matches the Rfam family "Bacterial small subunit ribosomal RNA", at positions 524 to 776 of the family's 1533-position model. The record is from RNAcentral.
GACGUAGGGCGCGAGCGUUGUCCGGAUUUAUUGGGCGUAAAGAGCUCGUAGGCGGCUUGUCGCGUCGACUGUGAAAACUCGGGGCUCAACUCCGAGCUUGCAGUCGAUACGGGCAGGCUAGAGUUCGGUAGGGGAGACUGGAAUUCCUGGUGUAGCGGUGAAAUGCGCAGAUAUCAGGAGGGACACCGGUGGCGAAGGCGGGUCUCUGGGCCGAUACUGACGCUGAGGAGCGAAAGCGUGGGGAGCGAACAGG